UUCCUGCUGGCUCAGACAGCAAAAGCAUCUGCCUACAAUGCGGGAGACCCGGGUUCAAUCCCUGGGUUGGGAA
Ovis aries (sheep) is the source of this 73-nucleotide transfer RNA. It matches the Rfam family "tRNA". Rfam says of the family: Transfer RNA (tRNA) molecules are approximately 80 nucleotides in length. NCBI's taxonomy places the organism in Eukaryota, Metazoa, Chordata, Mammalia, Artiodactyla, Bovidae. The record is from Rfam.